GACGCCGCGUGGAGGAUGAAGGUCUUCGGAUCGUAAACUUCUGUCAUGCGGGAGCAAGGUCCGCCGGUUAACUGCCGGUGGGAUUGAUAGUACUGCAAGAGGAAGAGACGGCUAACUCUGUGCCAGCACCGUCGGUGACUGAGCGGGCUGGCAAGGCGCAUA
This 162-nucleotide ribosomal RNA is filed under the name uncultured bacterium. RNAcentral describes it as "partial 16S ribosomal RNA". It matches the Rfam family "Bacterial small subunit ribosomal RNA", at positions 393 to 539 of the family's 1533-position model. The record is from RNAcentral.